Sarcophilus harrisii (Tasmanian devil) is the source of this 676-nucleotide long non-coding RNA. RefSeq lists it as uncharacterized. The transcript is spliced from 3 exons. The record is from RefSeq and is a predicted model, not a curated record. Lineage: Eukaryota; Metazoa; Chordata; Mammalia; Dasyuromorphia; Dasyuridae.
GAGCCCCGCCCACAAUGACAGUACCAGCGGAUAGCGGGAGGCAGCCUUGGCACCGACUGGCUGCUGGCACCCUGGCGGAGGGCCGCUCGCGGCCGCCUGGGCUCCCCGACGAGCCCCCACUCUGGCGGAAGAAUACCGGGGGGCGGCGCGGGGGGGCAGGCUGAUGGGGGUCUGCGCUGUGCUGGAUGCCGGGGAGGAACCAUGUCGCAGCUGGGAGGGACCCCAGAAAAGGCAAUGUCAGAGUUCAAAAAGAUGUUAGUAAUAUGAAGAGAAUUCACAGAAGGAAGACAAUUAAGGUGAUGAUGGAUUUCAAGUCUUUGAUGAUUGAUUAAAGCAACUGGGAUGAAUAAGAGAUGACUUAGAGGUGGUGAUGGAUCUUCAAAUCUCAGACUGAGAGGGUUCUUCAGAGGCCAUCUAAUCUGACCCCUCCCUAAAGUAUAGAUAUUCUUUACAACGUUCCCAACAAACAGGCAACUAAUGUCAGUUUAAAGAUUUUCAGUGCAGGAGAGCUCACUUACCUUACAAAGUACACUUCCCAUGCUGUUUUGGACAGCUCUAGCCUAAGCUGAUUCUUGUUUUCACUCAGCUAAAACUGCCUCCCAACCUUAAGUUUGAACUUGUGAAGUUCAAAUGAUGAUGUCACCCACUCAAUAAAUAAUAUUUGAAGAAUAAUUUG